GUCUGCAGCCAUACCACCCUGAACCCGCCCGCUCUCAUCUGAGGCUAAGCAGGGUGGGGCCUGGUUAGUACUUGGAUGGGAGAAAAUCCAAAACACUAGGAGACUGAACAAC
RNAcentral lists this ribosomal RNA (112 nucleotides) under Otolemur garnettii (small-eared galago). Lineage: Eukaryota; Metazoa; Chordata; Mammalia; Primates; Galagidae. The record is from RNAcentral.